This 495-nucleotide ribosomal RNA is filed under the name Scelarcis perspicillata (Menorca wall lizard). RNAcentral's name for it is "partial 16S ribosomal RNA". It matches the Rfam family "Bacterial large subunit ribosomal RNA", at positions 1915 to 2606 of the family's 2925-position model. The record is from RNAcentral. Lineage: Eukaryota; Metazoa; Chordata; Lepidosauria; Squamata; Lacertidae.
GUGACUCUUUAAACGGCCGCGGUAUCCUAACCGUGCAAAGGUAGCAUAAUCACUUGUCCCCUAAAUAGGGACUGGAAUGAACGGCUAAAUGAGGACUAAACUGUCUCUUACAGUCUAUCAAUGAAAUUAAUCUUCCAGUACAAAAGCUGGAAUAAGCUCAUAAGACGAGAAGACCCUGUGGAGCUUUAAAACCAAGCCACAAAACCUUUUGAUGCCUCCUGGUUUUUUAGUUGGGGCGACUUCGGAGCAAAAAAAACCCUCCGAAAACUUUGUUAUCAAGAUCAACACACCAAAAAUAAUUCUUACGACCCAGCAGCUUCUUAAAUAUUUCUGUCUGAUCAAUGAACCAAGUUACCCCAGGGAUAACAGCGCCAUCCCCUCCUAGAGUCCCUAUCGACAAGGGGGUUUACGACCUCGAUGUUGGAUCAGGACACCCCAAUGGUGCAGCCGCCAUUAAAGGUUCGUUUGUUCAACGAUUAAAGUCCUACGUGAUCU